Molecule: ribosomal RNA, 301 nt
Filed under: uncultured bacterium
Lineage: Bacteria
Description: partial 16S ribosomal RNA
Rfam family: Bacterial small subunit ribosomal RNA
Source: RNAcentral
CAGUCGCCGGGUAAUACGUAGGUGGCAAGCGUUGUCCGGAAUUAUUGGGCGUAAAGGGCUCGCAGGCGGUUUCUUAAGUCUGAUGUGAAAGCCCCCGGCUCAACCGGGGAGGGUCAUUGGAAACUGGGAAACUUGAGUGCAGAAGAGGAGAGUGGAAUUCCACGUGUAGCGGUGAAAUGCGUAGAGAUGUGGAGGAACACCAGUGGCGAAGGCGCCUCUCUGGUCUGUAACUGACGCUGAGGAGCGAAAGCGUGGGGAGCGAACAGGAUUAGAUACCCGUGUAGUCCCUGUCUCUUAUACC